GUAGGCGGCAAGCGUUGUCCGGAAUUAUUGGGCGUAAAGCGCGCGCAGGCGGGUCCUUUAAGUCUGAUGUGAAAGCCCACGGGCUCAACCGUGGAGGGUCAUUGGAAACUGGGGGACUUGAGUACAGAAGAGGAAAGCGGAAUUCCAAGUGUAGCGGUGAAAUGCGUAGAGAUUUGGAGGAACACCAGUGGCGAAGGCGGCUUUCUGGUCUGUAACUGACGCUGAGGCGCGAAAGCGUGGGGAGCAAACAGGAUUAGAUACCCUGGUAGUCCACGCCGUAAACGAUGAGUGCUAAGUGUUAGGGGGUUUCCGCCCCUUAGUGCUGCAGCUAACGCAUUAAGCACUCCGCCUGGGGAGUACGGCCGCAAAGGCUG
Molecule: ribosomal RNA, 374 nt
Filed under: uncultured organism
Description: partial 16S ribosomal RNA
Rfam family: Bacterial small subunit ribosomal RNA
Source: RNAcentral